This 253-nucleotide ribosomal RNA is filed under the name uncultured bacterium. RNAcentral's name for it is "partial 16S ribosomal RNA". It matches the Rfam family "Bacterial small subunit ribosomal RNA", at positions 524 to 776 of the family's 1533-position model. The record is from RNAcentral.
UACAGAGGGUGCGAGCGUUGCCCGGAAUCACUGGGCGUAAAGGGCGCGUAGGCGGCUUGAUAAGGUUGCGGUGAAAGCCCGGGGCUCAACCCCGGGUCGGCCGUGGCAACUGUCGAGCUGGAGCACUGUAGAGGCAGGUGGAAUUCCGGGUGUAGCGGUGGAAUGCGUAGAGAUCCGGAAGAACACCGGUGGCGAAGGCGGCCUGCUGGGCAGUGGCUGACGCUGAGGCGCGACAGCGUGGGGAGCAAACAGG